This 301-nucleotide ribosomal RNA is filed under the name uncultured bacterium. Its description in RNAcentral is "partial 16S ribosomal RNA". It matches the Rfam family "Bacterial small subunit ribosomal RNA", at positions 509 to 807 of the family's 1533-position model. The record is from RNAcentral.
CAGUCGCCGCGGGAAUACGAAGGGUGCAAGCGUUACUCGGAAUUACUGGGCGUAAAGCGUGCGUAGGUGGUGGUUUAAGUCCGUUGUGAAAGCCCUGGGCUCAACCUGGGAAUUGCAGUGGAUACUGGGUCACUAGAGUGUGGUAGAGGAUAGUGGAAUUUCCGGUGUAGCAGUGAAAUGCGUAGAGAUCGGAAGGAACAUCUGUGGCGAAGGCGACUAUCUGGGCCAACACUGACACUGAGGCACGAAAGCGUGGGGAGCAAACAGGAUUAGAUACCCGGGUAGUCCCUGUCUCUUAUAC